This 681-nucleotide ribosomal RNA is filed under the name Escherichia coli. Its description in RNAcentral is "partial 23S ribosomal RNA". It matches the Rfam family "Bacterial large subunit ribosomal RNA", at positions 612 to 1292 of the family's 2925-position model. Lineage: Bacteria; Pseudomonadati; Pseudomonadota; Gammaproteobacteria; Enterobacterales; Enterobacteriaceae. The record is from RNAcentral.
AUAAUGGGUCAGCGACUUAUAUUCUGUAGCAAGGUUAACCGAAUAGGGGAGCCGAAGGGAAACCGAGUCUUAACUGGGCGUUAAGUUGCAGGGUAUAGACCCGAAACCCGGUGAUCUAGCCAUGGGCAGGUUGAAGGUUGGGUAACACUAACUGGAGGACCGAACCGACUAAUGUUGAAAAAUUAGCGGAUGACUUGUGGCUGGGGGUGAAAGGCCAAUCAAACCGGGAGAUAGCUGGUUCUCCCCGAAAGCUAUUUAGGUAGCGCCUCGUGAAUUCAUCUCCGGGGGUAGAGCACUGUUUCGGCAAGGGGGUCAUCCCGACUUACCAACCCGAUGCAAACUGCGAAUACCGGAGAAUGUUAUCACGGGAGACACACGGCGGGUGCUAACGUCCGUCGUGAAGAGGGAAACAACCCAGACCGCCAGCUAAGGUCCCAAAGUCAUGGUUAAGUGGGAAACGAUGUGGGAAGGCCCAGACAGCCAGGAUGUUGGCUUAGAAGCAGCCAUCAUUUAAAGAAAGCGUAAUAGCUCACUGGUCGAGUCGGCCUGCGCGGAAGAUGUAACGGGGCUAAACCAUGCACCGAAGCUGCGGCAGCGACGCUUAUGCGUUGUUGGGUAGGGGAGCGUUCUGUAAGCCUGUGAAGGUGUGCUGUGAGGCAUGCUGGAGGUAUCAGAAGUGCG